Non-coding RNA from Myotis davidii, 74 nucleotides. The record is from Rfam. NCBI's taxonomy places the organism in Eukaryota, Metazoa, Chordata, Mammalia, Chiroptera, Vespertilionidae.
GGCGGUUCUUGGAUGACGCAGCAUGGAAUUGGGCUUCCCCCACUCUGGUUCUGGUGCGUCAUCCAAGAACCACA